RNAcentral lists this ribosomal RNA (2325 nucleotides) under Triticum aestivum (bread wheat). Its description in RNAcentral is "partial small subunit ribosomal RNA". The record is from RNAcentral. Lineage: Eukaryota; Viridiplantae; Streptophyta; Magnoliopsida; Poales; Poaceae.
AUGCUAUCUCGACCACUUCGUCCCGCGUCGUCGACGAGAUACGCGGCUGAAAGAUCGCCGGCCGGGGUCCAGAAGCCCAACACUGGGAGGUCCAAUGGAAGGAUGGCUAAACCAGACUGGGAUGAUCCGGAUAGCGGUCCUUUUAAGCUUUGCUGCGCAUCUUCUCCUCAUCCUCCUCGCCGGGAUCCGUCGGCGAAAAGCCUCCGGUGGGCGAACGCUCCUUCUAUGGCUGGCCAUCUCGGCGGCCCGGACAACAUCAGCGCCUACUCCCUGGAGGACAACGUGCUGUCAGGGCGGCAAGCACUCAACGUGUUGGUGCAGGUCGGGGGUGCCAUCUAUGUCGUGUACAAGCACAUAUACCUGGGCGGCGGUGACAGGGCCUUGCUUCCAUCAUCCAUCGCCAUUCUCGCCGUCGGUGUUGCCAAGUAUGUGGAGAGGGUACUGGCGCUAUGGCAAGGCAACCUGGGCAACAUCCGGAGCUCAAGCAAGAAGAAGAAGAAGAGGCAACGAAGGAGAUACACAUACACUGAUGGCUCGGGCUCCGGAAGCGGAACGGUGCUGGACAAUGAGCAAGCCCUGAUGGUUGCCCACGACAUGUUCCCGUUCUGCCAGCGUGCAAUGACCGAUUCUUCUGUCAACAUGGAUUCAUCUGACCUUGAAGCAACCAAGGUCAUGUUCUCUUUUGGGUGGGAGAGUAUGUGCAAGGUGGUGGAGAUGGAGCUUUCUCUCAUGUACGCCAUCCUCUACACCAAGGCAGCCAUGGUUCACUCCUGGGUCGGCUACUCGAUCCGGCUUGUCUCACCGGUCGCCACCUUCACGGCGUUGGUUCUGUUUGUGCUGUACGGCAAAGACGGCCAGAGGAGAGCAGAUGUGGUCAUCACCUACACCUUGCUGGUAGGUACUUUGAUCCUGGACAUGAGAUGGCUUCUCAGCGCACUUGGGUCUACCUGGAUGCACGCAUUCUUGGAGGCUAGGCCACGGGCAUGGCUUCACCACGAGGCUCUGUGCUCUGGGAGAUGGCGCCGGCUCUGUCGUGCCGUCGUGUCCCUGGAUCUUGGCCGGUUAGCCCUCGGCAUGGCGCCAGGCCGCUACAGAAUGUGGUCGGGCACCAUCGGGCAGUACAGCCUGCUGCACGAGUGCACCCGUGAGACGAUGCCUCUAUGCGGGAGAGCGGCCAAGAAGCUUGGAUUGGAAGAUGGGUGGAAGGAACACCACCACUCUGAGCGCCUUAAGCUCUCGCAAGAAGUCAAGAUGUUGGUGUUCGGACGUGCACGGAAGAUACUCAUCAAGUCAACCUACGACCACGGGAAGGAUAAGGUCGGGGAUGAUGAUGCAUACUCCAUGAAUGAAAUCACCACAUUUUGGGGCCAGGCGGCAGUCAAGAGGCGUCCGGUGAAACUGCGGAGAUUCCAGCUGGCCUUUGGCCGUGAGUUCCAGGAGGACAUCCUUGUGUGGCACAUCGCCACCCAAGUUUUCCUCAUGUGCGGCGGCGGUCAAUCACUGAUGCAUGGCAAGAGCGCAGCUGCGGCACAUGCCAAGGCGAUCAAGGCGCUGUCCGAGUACCUGAUGUUCCUCGUCGCCGUGCGCCGGCGCAUGCUACCGGCCCUCGUUCUCCGCAGCCUGUAUGAAGUAACCUUCGAUUCUUUGCAGGACAUUUGGCGCAAACAGGCCGUCAACAGCCGUUCCGGUUCGACGACAACCGGCAGGGCGAGGGAGGGGAAGCUUGCAAGGACUCUCCGUGACAAGAUGGACGCAGAUGGCGAGUGGGGUUUGGAUCAUGAUAAAACCCGUCUCGUCUCCGACGGAGCAAAUAUUGCCAUGGCGCUGCUGGAGGCCGAUGAGUCGGAGAUGCCGGAGGUGCUGGAGCUCGUCUUCAACGUGUGGGUGGACAAGCUGUUGUACGCGGGCACCCGAUGCAGCCGGGAGUCCCAUGCCAGGCAGCUCAGCCGAGGGGGCGAGCUCACGACCGUCGUCUGGAUUUUGGCAGAACAUGUUGGCCCAUUUCAGAUCGGCCAAUGCGUUCCAGAUGAUAAGAAACGGGAUCUUCCUCCACCGUGCCCGCUUCCGAUACCCAAGGCCAUGGAGGAACCUUAUCCGCCACCGUUCAUGAUGUAUCUUCCGCCGUCGACCGCACCGUGGCUACCGUCGCCGCAAUACGACGAACCACCCAAAAAGGAGGAACCUUGUCCGCCGCCGUUCAUGUAUCCUCCACCGUCGACUGCACCGUGGCCACCACUGCCGGAGAGUCCGCUGCCGCCACCACCGCCACCAGCGCCACCCAUGGAGAGGCGUAGACGGUAUGCUACGCUGUAUCCAGUGGACUGA